Molecule: ribosomal RNA, 468 nt
Filed under: uncultured bacterium
Lineage: Bacteria
Description: partial 16S ribosomal RNA
Rfam family: Bacterial small subunit ribosomal RNA
Source: RNAcentral
GACGAACGCUGGCGGCGUGCUUAACACAUGCAAGUCGAACGGAAAGGCCCUGCUUUUGUGGGGUGCUCGAGUGGCGAACGGGUGAGUAACACGUGAGUAACCUGCCCUUGACUUUGGGAUAACUUCAGGAAACUGGGGCUAAUACCGGAUAGGAGAUCCUGCAGCAUGGUGGGGGUUGGAAAGUUUCGUCGGUUGUGGAUGGACUCGCGGCUUACCAGCUUGUGGGUGGGGGAGUGGCUUACCAAGGCAUUGACAGGUAGCCGGCCUGAGAGGGGGACCGGCGACAUUGGUACUGAGAGAGGGACCAGAGGCCUAUGGUAGGCAGCAGUGGGGAGUAUUGCACAAUGGGCGGAAGUCUGAGGCAGCAACGCCGCGUGCGGGAUGACGGCUUUGGUGUUGUAAACGGCUUUCGCCUGUGACGAAGCGUGAGUGACGGUACUGGGUAAAGAAGCACCGGCUAACUACGUG